This 78-nucleotide small RNA is filed under the name Flavobacterium degerlachei. RNAcentral's name for it is "Flavo-1 RNA". It matches the Rfam family "Flavo-1 RNA". The record is from RNAcentral. Lineage: Bacteria; Pseudomonadati; Bacteroidota; Flavobacteriia; Flavobacteriales; Flavobacteriaceae.
UUUUAGCCCUGAUGGUAGCGGCAUCCUUUAUGUUUUUUCUUUAAAAACAUAAAGAUAUAGCGUACAGCAGGAAAUAGC